Molecule: ribosomal RNA, 466 nt
Filed under: uncultured bacterium
Lineage: Bacteria
Description: partial 16S ribosomal RNA
Rfam family: Bacterial small subunit ribosomal RNA
Source: RNAcentral
GACGAACGCUGGCGGCGUGCUUAACACAUGCAAGUCGAACGGAAAGGCCUCUUUCGGGGGGUACUCGAGUGGCGAACGGGUGAGUAACACGUGAGUAACCUGCCCUUGACUUUGGGAUAACUUCAGGAAACUGGGGCUAAUACCGGAUAGGAGCUCCUGCUGCAUGGUGGGGGUUGGAAAGUUUCGGCGGUUGGGGAUGGACUCGCGGCUUAUCAGCUUGUUGGUGGGGUAGUGGCUUACCAAGGCUUUGACGGGUAGCCGGCCUGAGAGGGUGACCGGCCAAAUUGGGACUGAGAUACGGCCCAGACUCCUACGGGAGGCAGCAGUGGGGAAUAUUGCACAAUGGGUGGAAGCCUGAUGCAGCAACGCCGUGUGGGGGAUGACGGCCUUCGGGUUGUAAACCGCUUUCGCCCAUGACGAAGCUUUGGGGGAGGGUAGGGGGAAAAAAAGCCCCGGCAAACUACGU